ACGAUGAAGAGUUUGAUCCUGGCUCAGGACGAACGCUGGCGGUGCGCCUUAUGCAUGCAAGUCGAGCGAAGCUUUUCAGUAGUUUACUACAGAAAAUGACUGAGCGGCGAACGGGUGAGUAACGCGUGAGCAAUCUACCUUAGUUACAGGGAUAGCCCGAGGAAACUCGGAUUAAUACCUGAUAUUCUUUAUAUUUCGCAUGAAAUUAAAAGGAAAGGUCAGCC
This 224-nucleotide ribosomal RNA is filed under the name Alcanivorax sp. 1008. RNAcentral describes it as "partial 16S ribosomal RNA". It matches the Rfam family "Bacterial small subunit ribosomal RNA", at positions 1 to 216 of the family's 1533-position model. The record is from RNAcentral. Lineage: Bacteria; Pseudomonadati; Pseudomonadota; Gammaproteobacteria; Oceanospirillales; Alcanivoracaceae.